UACGGAGGGUGCAAGCGUUAUCCGGAUUCACUGGGUUUAAAGGGUGCGUAGGCGGGCAGGUAAGUCCGUGGUGAAAUCUCUGAGCUUAACUCAGAAACUGCCAUGGAUACUAUUUGUCUUGAAUAUUGUGGAGGUAAGCGGAAUAUGUCAUGUAGCGGUGAAAUGCUUAGAUAUGACAUAGAACACCAAUUGCGAAGGCAGCUCACAAAACUAUAACUGACGCUGAGGCACGAAAGCGUGGGUAUCAAACAGG
This 253-nucleotide ribosomal RNA is filed under the name uncultured bacterium. RNAcentral's name for it is "partial 16S ribosomal RNA". It matches the Rfam family "Bacterial small subunit ribosomal RNA", at positions 524 to 776 of the family's 1533-position model. The record is from RNAcentral.